AGUGAAGUCAGCUAAACAAGCUCUCGGGCCCAUACCCCGAAAAUGUUGGUCACAAACCCUCCUUCACUA
This 69-nucleotide transfer RNA is filed under the name Varanus niloticus (Nile monitor). RNAcentral describes it as "tRNA-Met". Lineage: Eukaryota; Metazoa; Chordata; Lepidosauria; Squamata; Varanidae. The record is from RNAcentral.